GUUAAUGUAGCUUAAUAAUAUAAAGCAAGG
This 30-nucleotide transfer RNA is filed under the name Equus caballus (horse). RNAcentral's name for it is "partial tRNA-Phe". Lineage: Eukaryota; Metazoa; Chordata; Mammalia; Perissodactyla; Equidae. The record is from RNAcentral.